CUAUGUAGAUAGAUAUUUGCUUAUUGCAUUGUACCGAAUGGUUUAGAUCUCUAGUUAUGGUUGCUUAGCGCAAUAUUGAGGCGGGUAGCUUUUAUAAACUUACUAGUGGGGUGAUAAAUUAGUCGUUAAACCGUAUAGCUGUUUUAAGUUUUGUAUAUUUUGUGUACCCCACUGGCGAGGAGGUCAGUGGGAUGAUUAUAACUUUUUUGGUUAUGUUAAUUAAGUAAGGUUAAAGUUACCUUUCUUUUAUGAGUAUGUUAUUAUACAUUAUAAAAUCUUGUAGGGUUUAAUUGGAGUAAACUUAAUUUGUAAUUAUACGAGUCUUUAGAAUUGUUUAAUAAGUAAUACUAUUGGUUUUUUUGUUUCUCAUUACUGGUCCGUCUGUUUAUUAAAAACAUUGUUAUAAGAUUAAAUUAUUUAUGAUAGUACCUGCUCUAUGUUUAAAGGAUAAAUGGCCGCAGUAUAUUGACUGUGCGAAGGUAGCAUAAUUAAUUGCCUUCUAAUUAGGGGCUUGUUUGAAUGGUUUGACGAGAUUAGUUGUAACAUGAAGACUUUUGAUGAAAUUAAUGUUGUGAAUAUAGAAUUUACAGUGGUUAAUUAGACGGAAAGACCCUAGAAUCUUUUAUUUUUGCUUGGGGCCAGUGUAAAUAUUUUAUUUAUUUUGGGAACCUAAUGGGUUAUAGAUUUAAGUUACUCUAGGGAUAACAGGGUUAUAGCUUAGUAGAGUUCUUAUCGAUUAAGUUGUUUGCUACCUCGAUGUUGACUUGGGUUAAUACUUUGGCGCAGUAGUUGAAGUUUGUGGUCUGUUCGACCAUAUGUACCCUCAUGAGUUGAGUUAAGACCGGCGUGA
This 850-nucleotide ribosomal RNA is filed under the name Scyphocephalus bisulcatus. RNAcentral describes it as "partial 16S ribosomal RNA". The stretch from base 601 to 850 matches the Rfam family "Bacterial large subunit ribosomal RNA", at positions 2079 to 2624 of the family's 2925-position model. Lineage: Eukaryota; Metazoa; Platyhelminthes; Cestoda; Diphyllobothriidea; Diphyllobothriidae. The record is from RNAcentral.